Molecule: ribosomal RNA, 1519 nt
Filed under: uncultured soil bacterium
Lineage: Bacteria
Description: bacterial SSU rRNA
Rfam family: Bacterial small subunit ribosomal RNA
Source: RNAcentral
AGAGUUUGAUCCUGGCUCAGAUUGAACGCUAGCGGGAUGCCUUACACAUGCAAGUCGAACGGCAGCACGGACUUCGGUCUGGUGGCGAGUGGCGAACGGGUGAGUAAUGUAUCGGAACGUGCCCAGUAGCGGGGGAUAACUACGCGAAAGCGUAGCUAAUACCGCAUACGCCCUACGGGGGAAAGCAGGGGAUCUUCGGACCUUGCACUAUUGGAGCGGCCGAUAUCGGAUUAGCUAGUUGGUGGGGUAACGGCCUAUCAAGGCGACGAUCCGUAGCUGGUUUGAGAGGACGACCAGCCACACUGGGACUGAGACACGGCCCAGACUCCUACGGGAGGCAGCAGUGGGGAAUUUUGGACAAUGGGGGAAACCCUGAUCCAGCCAUCCCGCGUGUGCGAUGAAGGCCUUCGGGUUGUAAAGCACUUUUGGCAGGAAAGAAACGUCGCGGGCUAAUACCUCGCGAAACUGACGGUACCUGCAGAAUAAGCACCGGCUAACUACGUGCCAGCAGCCGCGGUAAUACGUAGGGUGCAAGCGUUAAUCGGAAUUACUGGGCGUAAAGCGUGCGCAGGCGGUUCGGAAAGAAAGAUGUGAAAUCCCAGAGCUUAACUUUGGAACUGCAUUUUUAACUACCGGGCUAGAGUGUGUCAGAGGGAGGUGGAAUUCCGCGUGUAGCAGUGAAAUGCGUAGAUAUGCGGAGGAACACCGAUGGCGAAGGCAGCCUCCUGNGAUACACUGACGCUCAUGCACGAAAGCGUGGGGAGCAAACAGGAAUAGAUACCCUGGUAGUCCACGCCCUAACGAUGUCAACUAGCUGUGGGGCCUUCGGCCUUGGUAGCGCAGCUAACGCGUGAAGUUGACCGCCUGGGGAGUACGGUCGCAAGAUUAAAACUCAAAGGAAUUGACGGGGACCCGCACAAGCGGUGGAUGAUGUGGAUUAAUUCGAUGCAACGCGAAAAACCUUACCUACCCUUGACAUGUCUGGAAUGCCGAAGAGAUUUGGCAGUGCUCGCAAGAGAACCGGAACACAGGUGCUGCAUGGCUGUCGUCAGCUCGUGUCGUGAGAUGUUGGGUUAAGUCCCGCAACGAGCGCAACCCUUGUCAUUAGUUGCUACGAAAGGGCACUCUAAUGAGACUGCCGGUGACAAACCGGAGGAAGGUGGGGAUGACGUCAAGUCCUCAUGGCCCUUAUGGGUAGGGCUUCACACGUCAUACAAUGGUCGGGACAGAGGGUCGCCAACCCGCGAGGGGGAGCUAAUCCCAGAAACCCGAUCGUAGUCCGGAUCGCAGUCUGCAACUCGACUGCGUGGAGUCGGAAUCGCUAGUAAUCGCGGAUCAGCAUGUCGCGGUGAAUACGUUCCCGGGUCUUGUACACACCGCCCGUCACACCAUGGGAGUGGGUUUUACCAGAAGUAGUUAGCCUAACCGCAAGGAGGGCGAUUACCACGGUAGGAUUCAUGACUGGGGUGAAGUCGUAACAAGGUAGCCGUAUCGGAAGGUGCGGCUGGAUCACCUCCUU